This 665-nucleotide long non-coding RNA is filed under the name Phasianus colchicus (ring-necked pheasant). Its description in RNAcentral is "lncRNA (ENSPCLG00000010710.1)". Lineage: Eukaryota; Metazoa; Chordata; Aves; Galliformes; Phasianidae. The record is from RNAcentral.
GCUGGAAGUUAGUGUGGCUUUUUCCAUGCCGAAGUUCCAGCAACCUGCUGGCAAGAUUGCUGUGAGCCAUGGUCCGAGUCUCAGGGAGGUGUCCUAUUCUGUAUCAUUCUCCCAGUCCUUCAGGAUGCUGUCUAGAAGGAUUCAUGCCAUGCCUGGCCAGCCCUUCUCUGCUGUGAUUGCUGUGCUCCCAGCUUACCCAGAGACACUGGUGGAAAAACGAGUGGCACAGCCUCUAUGCAGAGCAUGGCUUUUGAGGAACUGCAAAUAAUCCCAGAUAGUAUUGGAGAUCUGUAUCUUAUCCUUCAGCUCCCGAGGGGGUGUUAAAUCUCAGCCUAAAUUUACUCUUUUGCUCCUGAAAGAAUUUGUAAUCAUUGCUGUCUUGGAAAGGGAGGAGGAGGAUGGGGGGAGUCCAUUUGCAAACACUUGUGAAGAUGGAAACAACAUGGAUUUAUAUUCUAAUGGGGGAAAUUUGGCUGUGGGAUGUCUGAAUGAAUACAAUCUGAUGAGUUUCAUUAAGGCUACACCUCAUUCUUUUAAUUAACUUCUUGUUCUUGUCCUUGGUGAAGUAGUAAUUAUUUUUUAAUUAGCCCAACACUGCAUUGCCGAGCUAGCCAACCCUAGCCUCAUCUCACUGAGAGGUGUCAUAAGAAUUAAGUUAAUUAGCU